AGGGAGUUUUCGGCAAUGGGGAAACCCUGACCGGGCAACGCCGCGGGGGUGAUUGAGGGCCUCGGGUUGUUAAACCCUGGUGGAGGGGGUGAAAGGUUUCGGGAGGAAAUGACCGGGGCUUUGCCGGUCCCUACCCGGAAGCCCAGGGCAACUACCUUGCCAGCAGCCGCGGUAAUACGUAGGUGGCAAGCGUUAUCCGGAAUUAUUGGGCGUAAAGAGUGAGCAGGCGGCCGUUUAAGUUUGAAGUUAAAUCCAGGGGCUCAACCCCUGUACGCUUUGAAAACUGGACGGCUAGAGUAUGAGAGAGGUAUAUGGAACUCCAUGUGUAGCGGUGAAAUGCGUAGAUAUAUGGAAGAACACCGGUGGCGAAGGCGAUAUACUAGAUCAAUACUGACGCUCAGUCACGAAAGCGUGGGUAGCAAAUA
This 425-nucleotide ribosomal RNA is filed under the name uncultured bacterium. RNAcentral describes it as "bacterial SSU rRNA". It matches the Rfam family "Bacterial small subunit ribosomal RNA", at positions 356 to 774 of the family's 1533-position model. The record is from RNAcentral.